This is a long non-coding RNA of Leopardus geoffroyi (Geoffroy's cat), 757 nucleotides long. RefSeq lists it as uncharacterized. The record is from RefSeq and is a predicted model, not a curated record. Lineage: Eukaryota; Metazoa; Chordata; Mammalia; Carnivora; Felidae. The transcript is spliced from 2 exons.
UCCGCCCUGGGCUGCCCACUGAUCUCUCUCUUUCUCUUUCUCUACUACAGGCAGCAGGAGACAGAGGACUGGCUUCCUUCAGGGCCCGCAGCUGGAGGGAAAGAAAAUUCAGUGCUGCCUUUGUGACAUAACGGAUGGGUGAUUUCCACGGCCCUCUGCUUGGAAUCACCGGAACGAGCCAUUGCACUGUGGACUGAGACCGGAAUGCUGUGUUGGUGACGCCCAGACCAUUCAUUACAUUUCAAUAGUGCUUCCCCAGUUAUUAUGAUAACCCAGCCAUUCCCCCACCGGGAGGAGGGAAGAGAAGGAACCAGAUAUUUAUUGAUUAGCUAUAAUGGCCAAGCAACACGCGUAGUUGUUUACGUAUAUUUUAUUUAAGCUAAUGGGUGUGUAUUCUACUACUCAUUUCUCAGAUGCAGAAGGUACACCUCGGAGAGGCAAGGUUACAAUCCCAUCGCCAGUGAGGGGAGGAGCCUACCUUUGAAUCCAGGUCUGUCUCAAUUCACAGUUGAGCAUUAAUAAAAACGUGCUAGCAGUGAAGGGAAAGAGGCAGGCGAUUCUGGUCAAAUCUGCUCUGGAAACCCGGUGAAAAGGGCCGGGGGGCCGCGUGUCUUGGCAUGGCCUAAGAGAUGCUCCCCCUGGAGAUGUGGAGUAGACAAGGUGAUUUCUUGGGGUCCAUGCCAACCCCGUGAGCCUAGAUCCCUAAUAUUUUCAGAAAAGAUUUUUCGAUAAUAAACACUUUGGACUGUGAAGCACA